UGUGUUUCGUGUCAUGCCAAGACCGAGACUGCAAGACUUUUCUGUAGAUCGUUAGAUGACUCUUCUUGUAGAAUGCUUCUUGCACUGAGUCUGGUGUACGCGCCCUCUUAGCGCAACGCGUAAUUUCCCUAACGCCUACUUUUCUCGAACAUGUGCAAGAAUUUUCUGCAGAUCGUUAGAUGACUCGUCUUGUAGAAUGCUUCUUGCAAUGAGUCUGAUGUACGCGCCCUCUUAGCGCAACGCGUAAUUUCCCUAACGCCUACUUUUCUCGAACAUGUGCAAUUUUGUGUAUCAUUUGUCAUUUGUUUUGUGAGUGUUGUACAAGAAAGUUGAUUUUUUCCUACGCGUCUUUUAUAAAACAAUAAAAGUUUUGAGGACCACGAAAUAGCUAUGUUGGAUGAUAAAAAUAGAAACUACAAUGCAUUGUCCAGGGCGAAGAAUAUAGAAAGCGGCGAAAUAAAUUAAUUUUUUCUUUUAGCUAUUAGAUUAUUUAGUUAUAAGUAAAACUGUUUAGAUAAUAUAUAAUUUUAAGUACUCAUUGUUAUAGUUUAAAUACAUUUAAUUUGAAGUACAAUAAACAUUUUAUUUACUGCAUAUA
This is a long non-coding RNA of Drosophila sulfurigaster albostrigata, 598 nucleotides long. RefSeq lists it as uncharacterized. The record is from RefSeq and is a predicted model, not a curated record. Lineage: Eukaryota; Metazoa; Arthropoda; Insecta; Diptera; Drosophilidae. The transcript has 2 exons.